Molecule: ribosomal RNA, 253 nt
Filed under: uncultured bacterium
Lineage: Bacteria
Description: partial 16S ribosomal RNA
Rfam family: Bacterial small subunit ribosomal RNA
Source: RNAcentral
UACGAAGGGUGCAAACGUUGCUCGGAAUCAUUGGGCGUAAAGCGCACGUAGGCGGCCUCAUAAGUCGGAUGUGAAAUCCCUCGGCUCAACCGAGGACGUGCAUCCGAAACUGUGAAGCUCGAGUAUGGAAGAGGGUCGCGGAAUUCCCGGUGUAGAGGUGAAGUUCGUAGAUAUCGGGAGGAACACCAGUGGCGAAGGCGGCGACCUGGGCCAAUACUGACGCUGAGGUGCGAAAGCGUGGGGAGCAAACAGG